UACGGAGGGGGCUAGCGUGGUUCGGAAUUACUGGGCGUAAAGCGCACGUAGGCGGCUUUGUAAGUUAGAGGUGAAAGCCCGGGGCUCAACUCCGGAAUUGCCUUUAAGACUGCAUCGCUAGAAUUGUGGAGAGGUAAGUGGAAUUCCGAGUGUAGAGGUGAAAUUCGUAGAUAUUCGGAAGAACACCAGUGGCGAAGGCGACUUACUGGACACAUAUUGACGCUGAGGUGCGAAAGCGUGGGGAGCAAACAGG
This 253-nucleotide ribosomal RNA is filed under the name uncultured bacterium. RNAcentral's name for it is "partial 16S ribosomal RNA". It matches the Rfam family "Bacterial small subunit ribosomal RNA", at positions 524 to 776 of the family's 1533-position model. The record is from RNAcentral.